This 613-nucleotide long non-coding RNA is filed under the name Homo sapiens (human). RNAcentral describes it as "HSALNT0337101". Lineage: Eukaryota; Metazoa; Chordata; Mammalia; Primates; Hominidae. The record is from RNAcentral.
CUGCUGAUGCUGUACGUAUGGCUUGCACCCAGAGAGGGAGUAAAGCCAUGUCAAAACUGUCUACGAUUCCUUGAGUGUUUUUCCAGCUACCAGCCACUCACCCACUUACUCCCCUCAGACCUCAGUUAGAACCUGACGAUUGGUGUUAUGAACAGGAUCCUGAGCUGUGCUGCUGGAAUGGGCUCUGAUGGAAACCUGGCUGGUGGUGGAUGGGUCCCUCAUGAGCAUGGAGAAGGCAAUGAAGCAACUGGAAGUGCAGAGAACUGAGAAGGAGCGAGCUUUUGCCUGCAGAUUUCGAUGGGCAUUUUUGACUGUGCUACAAGAAGUACACACCCAGUUCCUGAAGGAUGCAGUGCAGAUGAGGAAGUAGAGGUGCAGAGACCAGGGAAAAAGGUCAAGAUCUCAAUGCUAACAGAUCAUGGGUGAGGCUGUGAAAACAGAGAAACCAUGUGUUAUGUGACAGGAUGCUCCUCUGAAGACUGACGAUGUUACUUGGGAUUUAAGCUGCCAAUUAUAGAACUGCUGCUACCUGGAGACUGACCAAAAUAGAGAAUUUGAACUCCAGAGCCCCCACCUCUGACCAGGAGGCCUCCCAACAGAGAGCUCUAAUAAA